Molecule: unclassified non-coding RNA, 253 nt
Filed under: Hevea brasiliensis (rubber tree)
Lineage: Eukaryota; Viridiplantae; Streptophyta; Magnoliopsida; Malpighiales; Euphorbiaceae
Source: RNAcentral
GGACCAAAACCAAGGAAUCUGAUUCAAAAAGUGAGUUUGAUUGAUUAUAUGCUGGUGUAUGGUUUGGAAGAUGGCCAGUUUAUUUUGCAGGAAAUUCCAGUUUAUUCUCUGCAUUUUAUAAGGAAAUCAUUGCUCAUCCAGUUAGUGUACUAGAGCCUCUGAUUCUUUUGAAUGGGGCUCUUUGGCUCCUUUUCUUAAGGAUGUAAUCAAGUUGAUUUGCUUUUCUAAUAAAAAUCUUGUCUUCUUAUUUUAU